AGAUAUUUUCUAAACCAGCGAGUCUUUCUCCGCCUAUUGCCAGCAGGUAACUGUUAUACCACUAGCUUGAAGGAAUCGACGGUCAAGACCGAUCCUUAUCAUAAUGGAGGGAUCCUCAUCAUGAUGAUUGAUUAAUAGCAGGUGGUAAAGUCUAUAAUAGUAAUCAUCACGCAUUUAGAUUUUCGGGAACCACUUCCAACUGACAGAAGGUAAGUGUUUGGGCCCCACCAUGGAGUUUUUUUUUUUUAGUACAGACAUGCUCACAU
Molecule: long non-coding RNA, 266 nt
Filed under: Elaeis guineensis (African oil palm)
Lineage: Eukaryota; Viridiplantae; Streptophyta; Magnoliopsida; Arecales; Arecaceae
Description: long non-coding RNA (EGUI_LNC020726)
Source: RNAcentral